GGGUGAUUAGCUCAGCUGGGAGAGCAGCUGCCUUACAAGCAGCGGGUCGGCGGUUCGAUCCCGUCAUCACCCA
Non-coding RNA from Pseudomonas caspiana, 73 nucleotides. NCBI's taxonomy places the organism in Bacteria, Pseudomonadati, Pseudomonadota, Gammaproteobacteria, Pseudomonadales, Pseudomonadaceae. The record is from Rfam.